AACGAACGCUGGCGGCAGGCCUAACACAUGCAAGUCGAGCGCGCCCUUCGGGGUGAGCGGCGGACGGGUGAGUAACGCGUGGGAACGUGCCCUUUUCUACGGAAUAGCCUCGGGAAACUGAGAGUAAUACCGUAUACGCCCUUUGGGGGAAAGAUUUAUCGGAAAAGGAUCGGCCCGCGUUGGAUUAGGUAGUUGGUGGGGUAAUGGCCUACCAAGCCGACGAUCCAUAGCUGGUUUGAGAGGAUGAUCAGCCACACUGGGACUGAGACACGGCCCAGACUCCUACGGGAGGAAGCAGUGGGGAAUCUUAGACAAUGGGGGCAACCCUGAGCUAGCCAUGCCGCGUGAGUGAUGAAGGCCUUAGGGUUGUAAAGCUCUUUCAGCUGGGAAGAUAAUGACGGUACCAGCAGAAGAAGCCCCGGCUAACUCCGUG
Molecule: ribosomal RNA, 433 nt
Filed under: uncultured bacterium
Lineage: Bacteria
Description: partial 16S ribosomal RNA
Rfam family: Bacterial small subunit ribosomal RNA
Source: RNAcentral